Molecule: long non-coding RNA, 838 nt
Filed under: Camelus dromedarius (Arabian camel)
Lineage: Eukaryota; Metazoa; Chordata; Mammalia; Artiodactyla; Camelidae
Description: lncRNA (ENSCDRG00005014092.1)
Source: RNAcentral
AGGGGGUGAGCUCUCCGCAGGCAGGAGGUGGGCUUGCGCCAAGCAGACAGCUGCAGACAGGUAUCCCAGGCAGAGGGAGCGGCAAGACAGCGCCUGCUGUUUCCAAAGAAGUCAAACAGGAUGGGUCCCCAGAAGUGGAGUGACAGGCGGCAGUCAUUCUGGCAAACACCUCUGUCCAGGCUAUGCCACGUGAGGGCCCCAGCAGCGCGCAGACAGCAGGCUGUGAGGGCAGAUCAGCCCUAAAGCAGGGAGUUCCUGAUGGCUACGCGUGGAGGGGAACCGCAGAACUGCCAGAGCGCCCACGUUCCUGAGCCCCAGGGAGGCACGGACCCAGGAGGAAGGAACGGGAAAGGCCAUGCCACCUGUUCAGCAAACCACGGAGCCAGGGCCCCUCCCUUUGACCGGAGUCCCGGCGGGGUGCAGGCAUGGCCACGGGCCCGGGCUGCUGCUGCCCACAGUUGCCUGCAAGCUCCACAGAUGGGGAGGUUUCCAGACCCUGAGGACGGUGCACAGCUCGAUCCGGAACUGGGCGGCCCCAGCGUCGGCACGCGCAGCACAGCCCACGAGCUCCCUGUGGCCCCAGGCGUGACCUGUGUCACUGCAGCCUUGCCCACUCGGCACCCUGGGCUUGUGUGCUUUUAGUGUCCCCGCUUCCUGGUGUUGCUACGCGCUUGUUUCCUGCAGAACUUGUGCACUCAGGAUACCAGUCUCCUCUUCAUGGUCCCCUGGCAACGCGAGGGGGCCGUGGGCUGUAGACACCCGCGUGCAGCUGGUGGUCUUGGGCCUGUGCUAGGGCAGACACUUUACGCAGUUUAGUGUUUCCUGCUGUUAUUUUUAU